This 65-nucleotide transfer RNA is filed under the name Hymenolepis microstoma. RNAcentral's name for it is "tRNA-Gly". Lineage: Eukaryota; Metazoa; Platyhelminthes; Cestoda; Cyclophyllidea; Hymenolepididae. The record is from RNAcentral.
AUGUCGUUAGUAUAAUUUAAUAUAUUACUUUUCCAAAGUUGAGAUCUAUGUGUUUAGACGACAUA